RNAcentral lists this ribosomal RNA (162 nucleotides) under uncultured Syndiniales. RNAcentral describes it as "partial 18S ribosomal RNA". It matches the Rfam family "Eukaryotic small subunit ribosomal RNA", at positions 53 to 217 of the family's 1831-position model. Lineage: Eukaryota; Dinophyceae; Syndiniales. The record is from RNAcentral.
GCAUGUCUCAGUAUAAGUGUUUCACUGCGAAACUGCGAAUGGCUCAUUAAAACAGUUAUAGUUUCCAUGUCAGUUGUUAAUUACCUGGAUCCUUAUGGAAAUUCUAGAGCUAAUACACGCGUCCAAACCCGACUUUUUGGAAGGGUUGUGCUUAUUAGACAC